GACCGGCGCACGGGUGAGUAACGCGUAUCCAACCUGCCCAUCACUUGGGGAUAACCUUGCGAAAGUAAGACUAAUACCCAAUGACGUCUCUAGAAGACAUCUGAAAGAGAUUAAAGAUUUAUCGGUGAUGGAUGGGGAUGCGUCUGAUUAGCUUGUUGGCGGGGUAACGGCCCACCAAGGCGACGAUCAGUAGGGGUUCUGAGAGGAAGGUCCCCCACAUUGGAACUGAGACACGGUCCAAACUCCUACGGGAGGCAGCAGUGAGGAAUAUUGGUCAAUGGGCGAGAGCCUGAACCAGCCAAGUAGCGUGCAGGAUGACGGCCCUAUGGGUUGUAAACUGCUUUUAUAAGGGAAUAAAGUGAGUCUCGUGAGGCUUUUUGCAUGUACCUUAUGAAUAAGGACCGGCUAAUUCCGUGCCAGCAGCCGCGGUAAUACGGAAGGUCCGGGCGUUAUCCGGAUUUAUUGGGUUUAAAGGGAGCGUAGGCCGGAGAUUAAGCGUGUUGUGAAAUGUAGACGCUCAACGUCUGCACUGCAGCGCGAACUGGUUUCCUUGAGUACGCACAAAGUGGGCGGAAUUCGUGGUGUAGCGGUGAAAUGCUUAGAUAUCACGAAGAACUCCGAUUGCGAAGGCAGCUCAC
RNAcentral lists this ribosomal RNA (638 nucleotides) under uncultured bacterium. RNAcentral describes it as "bacterial SSU rRNA". It matches the Rfam family "Bacterial small subunit ribosomal RNA", at positions 93 to 729 of the family's 1533-position model. The record is from RNAcentral.